Corticium candelabrum is the source of this 1180-nucleotide long non-coding RNA. RefSeq lists it as uncharacterized. Lineage: Eukaryota; Metazoa; Porifera; Homoscleromorpha; Homosclerophorida; Plakinidae. The record is from RefSeq and is a predicted model, not a curated record. The transcript is spliced from 3 exons.
CGUGAUUCAAUGCCGGCGACUUGGGGAGAAGACCGUGAUGCAGAGGCUUCGUUUGCCGUCCGUUUUCGUUUUCAGUGCUCUUUCCUUGCGAGAUGUACACACUGCAUAGGUACGUGACGUCUGCACGCCGUUUUUCUCUAAUGUACUGAAAGGAAAGUCCUCGUUCUGACAAGCACGCCGCGAAACGACGGCCAUUUUUAGUCAGGUGAUUUAGUCACGUUCUCUUAAAUAACGAAGGUUUUCUUGUACAACUGAUCGAAUAAUGAGCAAAAGCAUGCGGUGCUUAGAAACAGCGCAGGUGGGAAAUGGUAAACAAUGAAUCUUAUUGGAGCGGCCUAAUUUAUAUGAUUUAGAACAAUAAAUGAAUUUUUGAGUGCAAAUUAACUUGGCCUCUACUGUUGGUGGUGAGAGGCACACUUGCCCUGACUAAGUUAGGUGGCACACCAGACUGAAAACAGAGUUGUAUGGGUUGAUAAUAAUGAAUUUCUUUAGUGUAAAUAACAGCGCAUACUCUCUGCUGUCUGUGACGAGUAGCGCACUUGCCCUGAUUAAGUUGGGUGGCACACCGAGCUGAAGAAAGAGUUGUAUUUGUAUGUGUUGACAAUAAUGAAAUAUUUUAACGUAAAUAGCCUUACCCUCUGCUGUCUGUUGCGAGUGGCUUGCUGCAUCUAGUGUUUAGUUAACAACAACAACAAGUAAUGAAAUUAAUAAAUUUUAUGAAAUCUGGACACUUUGUCUGGAGCUAUUUACUCAGACUUAGGUUGAUUAUUGCAUUAGACUAGAACAGUGUUCUAGUGUAUGUAUGAUUGCUGGUGUAUGUUUUGACGUGUAAUGUGGUAUUUGUCAAUACGUGUUCGCUAGAAUAUUCAGAUUAUAUCAUUGUCUAGCUUGCUUCAGAGUUUGCACGCAUGUUGUGCAAAUCAGAAUACUUUACUGCAGGCAUGAUGGAGAAGUGGAAUGAUUCAUGUACCAAGAUUUUGGCAAUGGAGCAUCAAGAAGUCAGAGUGGGUGGAAAAAAAUGAUUGAAACUGAAGAGAGAUAUUGGGCUGAGUUUAAAGACAUUGAUUACUCAGGUUGCAGACUUCAAUGGAGCUGAUGAUGGUGCAGCUUUCCAACAAGAGUCAGAAACCAGUUCGAGAAAAAGGUAAAGUUGAUAUUUGAUUAUCGGUAAGAUUGCUGC